Molecule: long non-coding RNA, 427 nt
Organism: Myotis brandtii (Brandt's bat)
Lineage: Eukaryota; Metazoa; Chordata; Mammalia; Chiroptera; Vespertilionidae
Exons: 4
Source: RefSeq, a predicted model, not a curated record
ACUGAAUGGCAGUUCAUGGUAACAGAUCUAGCUUCUGGCUAUGCUGCAGUUUGGAAAUUUGUAGCUUCUGGCAAGAAUUCUACACCUCUCAGGCAGAAGAGGAGAGAAGACAUCUAGCCUACUAUAUAACAUACACCGUCCUGGCUUUUAUAUUUUUAGUUCCAAUGCCCCACUUUAAAGAGAAGAAAUGGACUUCAAAUUAUGGAAAAAAUCGAGAGACUGGCUAAGAAGAUUUGAUACUUAAGUACACUUUCAGGAUCUGUGGGAUUUUAUCAACUAUGGAGACUGUAACAAUGGAGCAGAAUUACAUUUCAGGACUGUUGGGUUCUUGUCUUGACCUCAGCACCGAAUACCAUCUUUGGUUUACUGGGAGGGAUGAACAGCUGUUGUCAUAACACCUUAUUCUGUCCAAUGAAGAGCAGGGAAG